UUUAAUUGAUUAUGACGUACUUGUACUGAUUGAGAUUUUAACACCCUGUUGUAGUGAGCCAACGCGGUGUAGUAACACGAGAAAUAACCUGCCCAGAAGUAGGGGAUAACACCUGGCAACAGAUGCUAAUACCGUAUAACAGAGAACACCGGAUGGUUUUCUUUUAAAAGAUGGAUCUGCUAUCACUUCUGGAUGGACCCGCGGCGUAUUAGGCUACUUGGUGAGGUAAAAGCUCACCAAGGGAGCGAUACGUACCCGACCUGAGAGGGUAAUCGUACCACAUUGGGACUGAGACACGGAUCCAGACUCCUACGGGAGGCAGCAGUAGGGAAUCUUCCACAAUGGACGCGAGUCUGAUGGAGCAACGCCGCUUGAGUGAAGAAGGGUUUCGGCUCGUAAAGCUCUGUUGUUAUAGAAGAACGUGGGUAAGAGUAACUGUUUACCCAGUGACGGUAUUUAACCAGAAAGCCACGGCUAACUACAUGCCAGCAGCCGCGGUAAUACGUAGGUGGCAAGCGUUAUCCGGAUUUAUUGGGCGUAAAGCGAGCGCAGGCGGUCUUUUAAGUCUAAUGUGAAAGCCUUCGGCUCAACCGAAGAAGUGCAUUGGAAACUGGGAGACUUGAGUGCAGAAGAGGACAGUGGAACUCCAUGUG
RNAcentral lists this ribosomal RNA (653 nucleotides) under Pediococcus pentosaceus. Its description in RNAcentral is "bacterial SSU rRNA". It matches the Rfam family "Bacterial small subunit ribosomal RNA", at positions 69 to 675 of the family's 1533-position model. The record is from RNAcentral. Lineage: Bacteria; Bacillati; Bacillota; Bacilli; Lactobacillales; Lactobacillaceae.